UGCAAGUCGAGCGGAUGAGAAGAGCUUGCUCUUCGAUUCAGCGGCGGACGGGUGAGUAAUGCCUAGGAAUCUGCCUGGUAGUGGGGGACAACGUUUCGAAAGGAACGCUAAUACCGCAUACGUCCUACGGGAGAAAGCAGGGGACCUUCGGGCCUUGCGCUAUCAGAUGAGCCUAGGUCGGAUUAGCUAGUUGGUGAGGUAAUGGCUCACCAAGGCGACGAUCCGUAACUGGUCUGAGAGGAUGAUCAGUCACACUGGAACUGAGACACGGUCCAGACUCCUACGGGAGGCAGCAGUGGGGAAUAUUGGACAAUGGGCGAAAGCCUGAUCCAGCCAUGCCGCGUGUGU
RNAcentral lists this ribosomal RNA (348 nucleotides) under Pseudomonas putida. RNAcentral's name for it is "bacterial SSU rRNA". It matches the Rfam family "Bacterial small subunit ribosomal RNA", at positions 56 to 406 of the family's 1533-position model. The record is from RNAcentral. Lineage: Bacteria; Pseudomonadati; Pseudomonadota; Gammaproteobacteria; Pseudomonadales; Pseudomonadaceae.